RNAcentral lists this ribosomal RNA (253 nucleotides) under uncultured bacterium. RNAcentral describes it as "partial 16S ribosomal RNA". It matches the Rfam family "Bacterial small subunit ribosomal RNA", at positions 524 to 776 of the family's 1533-position model. The record is from RNAcentral.
UACGGGGGGGGCAAGCGUUGUUCGGAAUUACUGGGCGUAAAGGGUUCGUAGGUGGCCAACUAAGUCAGACGUGAAAUCCCUCAGCUUAACUGGGGAACUGCGUCUGAUACUGGAUGGCUUGAAUCCGGGAGAGGGAUGCAGAAUUCCAGGUGUAGCGGUGAAAUGCGUAGAUAUCUGGAGGAAUACCGGUGGCGAAGGCGGCAUCCUGGACCGGCAUUGACGCUGAGGAGCGAAAGCUAGGGGAGCAAACGGG